GAUUGAACGCUGGCGGCAUGCUUUACACAUGCAAGUCGGACGGCAGCGGGGAGUGCUUGCACUCUGCCGGCGAGUGGCGAACGGGUGAGUAAUGCAUCGGAACGUACCGAGUAAUGGGGGAUAACUGUCCGAAAGGACAGCUAAUACCGCAUACGCCCUGAGGGGGAAAGCGGGGGAUCUUAGGACCUCGCGUUAUUCGAGCGGCCGAUGUCUGAUUAGCUAGUUGGUGGGGUAAAGGCCUACCAAGGCGACGAUCAGUAGCGGGUCUGAGAGGACGAUCCGCCACACUGGGACUGAGACACGGCCCAGACUCCUACGGGAGGCAGCAGUGGGGAAUUUUGGACAAUGGGCGCAAGCCUGAUCCAGCCAUGCCGCGUGUCUGAAGAAGGCCUUCGGGUUGUAAAGGACUUUUGUCAGGGAAGAAAAGGAGUUGGUUAAUACCCGACUCUGAUGACGGUACCUGAAGAAUAAGCACCGGCUAACUACGU
Molecule: ribosomal RNA, 488 nt
Filed under: Neisseriales bacterium 'ARUP UnID 354'
Lineage: Bacteria; Pseudomonadati; Pseudomonadota; Betaproteobacteria; Neisseriales
Description: bacterial SSU rRNA
Rfam family: Bacterial small subunit ribosomal RNA
Source: RNAcentral